CUUGGUGUAGGUGGGAAGAUGGCAAGUUCAUCCACAAGCAACACCGUGGCAUAUUGUUGAAAUUGUGGCCACAAAUGUGAAAUGUACACAUCUAGAAGUGAACAAAACCCAAACAUGAUGUAUUAUAAGUACAAAUUAUGUAAUUUAUGGAAUGUAGGUGGGAAGAUAUGCAACUUCGGUACUCCCAAUACUGCAAUAUAUUGGGGCCAAUGACAUCUAACUUCGAGUCAUUGAUCAAGGUAUUAGAGAACCAAUAACAUAUGACUGCCCAAGAGAAUUCUAAGAAGCG
RNAcentral lists this long non-coding RNA (289 nucleotides) under Amborella trichopoda. RNAcentral's name for it is "long non-coding RNA (ATRI_LNC000950)". Lineage: Eukaryota; Viridiplantae; Streptophyta; Magnoliopsida; Amborellales; Amborellaceae. The record is from RNAcentral.